Long non-coding RNA from Lutra lutra (Eurasian river otter), 753 nucleotides. RefSeq lists it as uncharacterized. The transcript has 3 exons. The record is from RefSeq and is a predicted model, not a curated record. NCBI's taxonomy places the organism in Eukaryota, Metazoa, Chordata, Mammalia, Carnivora, Mustelidae.
GAUAUUAAAAAGUUGCUGUCCUCAAUUCAUUUCACCCUGCUGUGAAAAUGUCACCAUCGCAAGCUUCCUAGAAAGCUAUGACGGAGAUUAUAAACGUGGCCCAUAUGCAGUCCUUUAUUGGCUGAUUAGGCGCUCUGAAGUCACUGUAGCAGGUGCUCAAGAGCGGAACACACCCGAGGAGUAAGCUCCACCCUCAAGGAUUUCCAGAUCCACUCGGGAAAAGACAUGGACAAAAACCAUCAAUUGGGAUACAGCACGGUAAGAAGAAAACGAUAUCAUCAUUAUUUCCUGCCAUGCCUAUAAAACUGGAAAACAUGCCAGUAGAAGUGCAGCUCUGCUCCAGAUCACCCUCGUUCCGACAGCCAGGACGGCGGAGCCUCCACGGGCCAUAGGCUGGACUGGCUGGAAGGGACCCGGUCAUUUCAGCUCGCAUUUCACUGGCCAGAACAAGUCACAUGGGCACAACUUAAGGCAGCUGGGCAGAGAAAGAGAGCCCUCCCCCAGGAAGGGGCAGUGAAUAUCCCAACAAGAACACCGUCUGGUACAGUAGAGUGUAUUUAAUUCACUGCAUACGUGAUGUUACGGUCACUUACCGCACAGGCCCCCCCAAGUAACUACCCAGAAUCCCCUCUUCAGCUCUUGGCUCAAAUGCUACUUCCCAGUGAGGCCUUCCCUUACCACCUCCUAUCUCCCAUCUCUGCUCUAUGGUUCUCCACUUUCAAACAGUCCUGCCAAAACCAACAGGUAUAUGUA